This 429-nucleotide ribosomal RNA is filed under the name Pseudomonadota bacterium. RNAcentral describes it as "Proteobacteria bacterium partial 16S ribosomal RNA". It matches the Rfam family "Bacterial small subunit ribosomal RNA", at positions 355 to 776 of the family's 1533-position model. The record is from RNAcentral. Lineage: Bacteria; Pseudomonadati; Pseudomonadota.
UGGGGAAUAUUGGACAAUGGGCGAAAGCCUGAUCCAGCCAUGCCGCGUGUGUGAAGAAGGUCUUCGGAUUGUAAAGCACUUUAAGUUGGGAGGAAGGGCAGUAAGCGAAUACCUUGCUGUUUUGACGUUACCGACAGAAUAAGCACCGGCUAACUCUGUGCCAGCAGCCGCGGUAAUACAGAGGGUGCAAGCGUUAAUCGGAAUUACUGGGCGUAAAGCGCGCGUAGGUGGUUCGUUAAGUUGAAUGUGAAAGCCCCGGGCUCAACCUGGGAACUGCAUCCAAAACUGGCGAGCUAGAGUAGGGCAGAGGGUGGUGGAAUUUCCUGUGUAGCGGAGAAAUGCGUAGAUAUAGGAAGGAACACCAGUGGCGAAGGCGACCACCUGGGCUCAUACUGACACUGAGGUGCGAAAGAGUGGGGAGCAAACAGG